This 600-nucleotide ribosomal RNA is filed under the name Micrococcaceae bacterium Se2Pt_1597. RNAcentral describes it as "bacterial SSU rRNA". It matches the Rfam family "Bacterial small subunit ribosomal RNA", at positions 392 to 1001 of the family's 1533-position model. The record is from RNAcentral. Lineage: Bacteria; Bacillati; Actinomycetota; Actinomycetes; Micrococcales; Micrococcaceae.
CGACGCCGCGUGAGGGAUGACGGCCUUCGGGUUGUAAACCUCUUUCAGUAGGGAAGAAGCGAAAGUGACGGUACCUGCAAAACAAGCGCCGGCUAACUACGUGCCACCAGCCGCGGUAAUACGUACGGCGCAUGCGUUAUCCGGAAUUAUUGGGCGUAAAGAGCUCGUAAGCGGUUUGUCGCGUCUGCCGUGAAAGUCCGGGGCUCAACUCCUGAUCUGCGGUGGGUACGGGCAGACUAUAGUGAAGUAGGGGAGACUGGAAAUCCUGGUGUAGCGGUGAAAUGCGCAUAUAUCGAGAGGAACACCGAUGGCGAAGGCAGGUCUCUGGGCAUUAACUGACGCUGAGGAGCGAAGGCAUGGGGAGCGAACAGGAUUACAUGCCCUGGUAGUCCAUGCCGUAAACGUUGGGCACUACGUGUGGGGGACAUUCCACGUUUUCCGCGCCGUAACUAACGCAUUAACUGCCCCGCCUGGGGAGUACGGCCGCAAGGCUAAAACUCUGAGGAAUUGACGGGGGCCCGCACAAGCGGCGGAUCAUGCUGAUUAAUUCGAUGCAACGCGUACAACCUUACCAAGGCUUGACAUGAACCGGAAAGACCU